GAUACGUCGUUCUCCCGCCGCGACGCAAAAAGGUGGGCGGGGCGGAGAGACGCAGCGCGAGGUUUGCGCAGGCGUCGCAGCACGCGCCUUCUCAGGCCCGGCUGUGGUUGGAGCGCGACUCCGCUCGGCCCUUGGGGAGGGUCAGGGAUGGGGGGAGUUGUAGAGGCGGAGGGGACCCUGAGGGUCAUCUAGUCCAACCCCCUCACGACCCCGAGAUGAAGAGCCUCCUGCUCUCUACCUGCUCGCUAAGCUGGGAAGCCAAGUUUGAGAAACAUUGGACGUGUUUGCCCAUUAAGGAGGACACUGCACUCUUAACGUGCUCAGAGGUGCUGUUGCUCCUUCCCGUAGGGAGCCUCGAAAUUAACGCCGAAGCCUUCCAAGUCAAGUGAUAUCACUGCCUCUGGCAAAAGCUGCAUGACAUCCCAGAGUCCUUGGGAUACUUUCCUCCCAGAACUUGCAACAACUCUGACCAUGGGUGAUACUGCCUGUGGCUGAGGGGAACUGGAGUCCAACAAAAUUGGAGAGGACAUAUUUUCUCUACCCCUGAGUUAAAGGGAUACUACAUAUCAAGGAAACCAAAAUGCUUGUUUACAAAGCUAUUGUACUACCAACAUUACUGUCUGCUUGUGAAACAUGGACCACUGAUAAACGCCAUCUCCAGCCUCUCGAAAGAUUCCAUCAACGGGAUCUAUGAAAAUUUGAUACAUCACUUGGGAAGACAAGCGAACUAAUACCAGUGUACUGGAAUUAGCAAAGAUCACCCGUGUUGAAGCGAUGAUUCUUCAACAUCCACUUCGCUGCACUGGUCAUGUUGUGCGGAUGCCUGACGAUCGUCUUCCAAAGCAACUACUCUAUUCCCAACUUAAAAAUGGAAAGUGUAAUGCUGGUGGUCAACAAAAUAUGUUUAAAGUCUGUCUCAAGGCAAAUUUUAAAAAAUGUAGUAUAAACACUGACAACUGGGAAACACUGGCCUGCGAGUGCUCCAUUUGGAGAACAGCCUUUACCAAAGGUGUCAUUGGCACUCAAACUCAGGAUGCAAGGGAGAAAGGUGCUAAGAGGAAGGCACGCUUAACAAAUCCACACCGUGAUCAAUUCGCACCUGGAAACCAAUGUCCCCACCGUGGAAGGACGUGUGGAUCCAGAAUUGGCCUCCACAGUCACUUACGGGCUCAUUGUUAAAACCUUGUUUAUGGAAGACAAUCUUACUCGGCUACGAGUGAUCGCCACAGAAGAAGAAGAAGGAAGACAUAUCAAGGACAAUCUGGGGCGAGGAUGAGAGCACUAUUAAAGGAUUAGAAAUGGUGCAAAACCAAUUUCUUAAGAGACUGUUUUCCGCACCCAAGGGAACAGCAUCCGAACUCUUACACAUGGAAUGUGGAUGGCCAACAUUAACUGCAAGAGCUAUUUGCACCUGGUUUAAUUAGCUGAAAAGACUUGUUAUGCGGAAUUGGUGAACAGCCGGUAGUGGAAAUCUAACACACAAUAUUAUUUGAACUCUUUAUUAUUUCCCUAAGAUAGAGGAGAUUAUAUCUACAGACAAAUGCCAACCAAGGGAUUGGUGCCACUGGACAGAAUCACUACAUGAUCUGCAAGCGAUUAAAUUCUCUAAAUGCUCUCCUUGGUUCUCUCUUCUAAAAACAGUCCAUUUUAGAGCCAGUUACCUGUCAAAUCUCUGGCCAGCCUCACUUAGAUUUGCUUUUGCUUAGCUGCAUUUUCAAGUUAUGCCCUCCACUGUCCUGGACAGAUAAUAUAACAGGGUACUGUACAAAGAUAAGACUCUGAAUAUGUGGGCAUCUGCAGGUGGAAGACAUCUUGCACUAUUUACUAUAUUACUAUUUACUAUACCUUGGACCCAGGAGGCAAUUUCUCACCUUACAGGAAAUUUGUCUCCCCCCAACAGAGAAGAAAAGAUCAGAAAGAAGACCCUGGACAAUAUAGCACAAUAUAGUAAGGGAGACGCAGAGAUCUAAAGAGAGACCAUUAUUUGUGGCACGACACCCCUUUUGCUUGUAUUUAUUUUUUAUUCAGAUUUGCCAUGGCCAAUGGCUAGUACAACAACAUUUGGACAGGACAUAUCGAGGACAAAAAUGCCUUUUUUUCCCCAUCCUUGGAUGAUGUGGCAUGUCAGGUGAGGUAGGAAAAGGCCCGCCCAUUGGUCUCUCUAGCAACCUCUUAGGGCAUGCAAAUAGCAACCCAGGCCAGUACCAUAAGCAAGGGACUGGUUUGACUGGUUUAGCAGGUUUCCUCUCAUGAAAUCUAACCCCACAUACACAGGAUCUCAGGUUUGGAAGGGACCCACAGGUGCAAUCCAGACUGAGACCCACAAACCUGUAACAAUAUGCUACUCUGAUUAGCAAAACAAGUUGUUGUUUUAUUCCAAAAAACUGAAACAUUUUCCACACACAAAAAUAAACCUUUAUUAAUC
Molecule: long non-coding RNA, 2425 nt
Organism: Podarcis raffonei (Aeolian wall lizard)
Lineage: Eukaryota; Metazoa; Chordata; Lepidosauria; Squamata; Lacertidae
Exons: 2
Source: RefSeq, a predicted model, not a curated record